This 253-nucleotide ribosomal RNA is filed under the name uncultured bacterium. RNAcentral's name for it is "partial 16S ribosomal RNA". It matches the Rfam family "Bacterial small subunit ribosomal RNA", at positions 524 to 776 of the family's 1533-position model. The record is from RNAcentral.
UACGUAGGGUGCGAGCGUUAAUCGGAAUUAUUGGGCGUAAAGCGUGCGCAGGCGGCUUUGCAAGACAGAUGUGAAAUCCCCGGGCUCAACCUGGGAACUGCAUUUGUGACUGCAAGGCUAGAGUACGGCAGAGGGGGAUGGAAUUCCGCGUGUAGCAGUGAAAUGCGUAGAUAUGCGGAGGAACACCAAUGGCGAAGGCAAUCCCCUGGGCCUGUACUGACGCUCAUGCACGAAAGCGUGGGGAGCAAACAGG